Molecule: long non-coding RNA, 558 nt
Organism: Sceloporus undulatus (fence lizard)
Lineage: Eukaryota; Metazoa; Chordata; Lepidosauria; Squamata; Phrynosomatidae
Exons: 5
Source: RefSeq, a predicted model, not a curated record
AUCCUUCUGACAUGGUCUCUUUUAGGUGUGGGGAUUAGCUUUGGUUUCUCAAGAAAGCCUUCUUAUUACUGGUUCUGCUGACAGUGAGCUGAGGGCCUGGAACAUCAGCUUUUUCCAGGAAGAUGAAGAUCCCAGUGAGCCUGAAUAUAAAAGAAUCAAAGGAUCUGCAGAGAGAAUAAAAGAUCCUACUGAAGAGGACAGGAUAAUAGAUAAGGAUGAGACCCAGCAGCAGGACAUUCUGAGUUGCAGCAAAUCUGGCUCUAUCAUGCGGGAAGGAAGAGACAGAAUUGUUAGUCUUGGCACUGACCGGACAGGGAGGAUUCUUGCUUGCCAUGGAACAGAUUGUAUUCUGGAAGUAUUCCAUGUCCUUAGCAAGGAAGAGAUUGACAAGAAAAUAGAGAAGAAGAUGAAGAAAGCAAGGAAAAAGGCCAAGCAGAUAUCACAUCUGGAGGAGGAAGAACUUGAUGCUAAUAUAGAGUGUAGUCUGCAAGAAAGGAUUCAACGUCUCAUUAACAUCAAAGCCUCUGCAAAAAUUAAGUGAGCAGGAAGAAUUGCCUA